AGUCUGGUGCCAGCACCCGCGGCAAUUCCAGCUCCAAUAGCGUAUAUUAAAGUUGUUGCGGUUAAAAAGCUCGUAGUUGAAUUUCUGGUACGAUGCUUUCGGCCCGGCGGCUUCGGUCGCUUGUGUGCUGGAUCUGCAUCUGCCAUCCUUCUCGAUCGUCCAACUACUGCCCUUCGUUGUGUGGUAGUUACGGUUGUAGAUCUUUUACUUUGAAAAAAUUAGAGUGUUUAAAGCAGGCUUGUGCGAUGAAUACAUUAGCAUGGAAUAAUAAUUUAGGACUUUGUUUCUAUUUUGUUGGCUUCUAGGGACGAAGUAAUGAUUGAUAGGGAUAGUUGGGGGUGCUAGUACUCAGUGGCCAGAGGUGAAAUUCUUGGAUUCACUGAAGACUAACUUAUGCGAAAGCAUUCACCAAGGAUGUCUUCUUUAAUCAAGAACGAAAGUUGGGGGAUCGAAGACGAUCAGAUACCGUCGUAGUCUCAACCUUAAACGAUACCAACUAGGGAUUUGCGGAAGUUGCUCAUUCGACUCCGCAAGCACCUUAUGAGAAAUCACAAGUCUUUGGGUUCCGGGGGGAGUAUGGUCGCAAGACUGAAACUUAAAGGAGUCGACGGAAGGGCAUCACCGGGAGUGGAGCCUGCGGCUUAAUUUGACCCAACACGGGGAAACUUACCAGGUCCAGACAUAGGGAGGAUUGACAGAUUGAAGUUCUUUCUUGAUUCUAUGGGUGGUGUGCAUGGCCGUUCUUAGUUGGUGGAGUGAUUUGUCUGGUUAAUUCCGUUAACGAACGAGACCUCGACCUGCUAAAUAGUUCGACCUAGCCUAGCUAGGCACGCGACUUCUUAGAGGGACUGUCGGUUUAUAGCCGAAGGAAGUUCGAGGCAAUAACAGGUCUGUGAUGCCCUUAGAUGUUCUGGGCCGCACGCGCGCUACACUGAUUCGUUCAUCGAGCAAAAACCUUGACUGAUAGGUCUGGGUAAUCUUUUCAAAGCGAAUCGUGAUGGGGAUAGAUUAUUGUAAUUAUUAAUCUUCAACGAGUAAUUCCUAGUAAGCGUAAGUCAUCAACUUACACUGAAUACGUCCCUGCCCUUUGUACACACCGCCCGUCGCUGCUACCGAUUGAAUGUAUUAGUGAGCCUCAGGGAUCGCUGCUUUGCUUGGUCUCCAGGUGGGGUGCGCGAGAACUGCUGCAAACUUGCACAUUUAGAGGAAGCAAAAGUC
This 1218-nucleotide ribosomal RNA is filed under the name metagenome. RNAcentral's name for it is "SSU rRNA". It matches the Rfam family "Eukaryotic small subunit ribosomal RNA", at positions 558 to 1790 of the family's 1831-position model. The record is from RNAcentral.